This 174-nucleotide ribosomal RNA is filed under the name Bacillus sp. (in: firmicutes). RNAcentral describes it as "Bacillus sp. (in: Bacteria) partial 23S ribosomal RNA". It matches the Rfam family "Bacterial large subunit ribosomal RNA", at positions 1 to 164 of the family's 2925-position model. Lineage: Bacteria; Bacillati; Bacillota; Bacilli; Caryophanales; Bacillaceae. The record is from RNAcentral.
GGGUUGUGAGGUUAAGCGACUAAGCGUACACGGUGGAUGCCCUGGCAGUCAGAGGCGAUGAAGGACGUGCUAAUCUGCGAUAAGCGCCGGUAAGGUGAUAUGAACCGUUAUAACCGGCGAUUUCCGAAUGGGGAAACCCACUUGCUGUGAUGAGCAAGUAUCCAUAAGUGAAUA